AAAACAUCAGGACCGUCAGUCUACCGAGUAAUAUCACCCGGUCGAUGGAAGAUCUUCCCUUCGUCGU
This 67-nucleotide microRNA precursor is filed under the name Bombyx mori (domestic silkworm). Its description in RNAcentral is "mir-2774 microRNA precursor family". It matches the Rfam family "mir-2774 microRNA precursor family". Lineage: Eukaryota; Metazoa; Arthropoda; Insecta; Lepidoptera; Bombycidae. The record is from Rfam by way of RNAcentral.